UUGAAGAGAGUUACUUGAAAGUUGUAAAGAUGCAAUCCAUUGACCUUCAGUUCGCUCUCUUCGUCA
This 66-nucleotide microRNA precursor is filed under the name Melibe leonina. RNAcentral describes it as "microRNA mle-mir-12102 precursor". Lineage: Eukaryota; Metazoa; Mollusca; Gastropoda; Nudibranchia; Dendronotidae. The record is from miRBase by way of RNAcentral.